UGAACGCUGGCGGCGUGCCUAAUACAUGCAAGUCGAGCGAACAGACGAGGAGCUUGCUCCUCUGACGUUAGCGGCGGACGGGUGAGUAACACGUGGAUAACCUACCUAUAAGACUGGGAUAACUUCGGGAAACCGGAGCUAAUACCGGAUAAUAUAUUGAACCGUAUGGUUCAAUAGUGAAAGACGGUUUUGCUGUCACUUAUAGAUGGAUCCGCGCCGCAUUAGCUAGUUGGUAAGGUAACGGCUUACCAAGGCAACGAUGCGUAGCCGACCUGAGAGGGUGAUCGGCCACACUGGAACUGAGACACGGUCCAGACUCCUACGGGAGGCAGCAGUAGGGAAUCUUCCGCAAUGGGCGAAAGCCUGACGGAGCAACGCCGCGUGAGUGAUGAAGGUCUUCGGAUCGUAAAACUCUGUUAUUAGGGAAGAACAAAUGUGUAAGUAACUAUGCACGUCUUGACGGUACCUAAUCAGAAAGCCACGGCUAACUACGUG
RNAcentral lists this ribosomal RNA (495 nucleotides) under uncultured bacterium. Its description in RNAcentral is "partial 16S ribosomal RNA". It matches the Rfam family "Bacterial small subunit ribosomal RNA", at positions 30 to 507 of the family's 1533-position model. The record is from RNAcentral.